CCUACGGGUGGCAGCAGUGGGGAAUAUUGCACAAUGGGGGAAACCCUGAAGCAGCGACGCCGCGUGAGUGAAGAAGUAAUUCGUUAUGUAAAGCUCUAUCAGCAGGGAAGAAAAUGACGGUACCUGAGUAAGACGCCCCGGCUAACUACGUGACAGCAGCCGCGGUAAUACGUAGGGGGCAAGCGUUAUCCGGAUUUACGGGGUGUAAAGGGAGCGUAGACGGCAGUGCAAGUCUGGAGUGAAAGGCGGGGGCUCAACCCCCGGACUGCUCUGGAAACUGUACGGCUGGAGUGCAGGAGAGGUAGGUGGAAUGCAUGGUGUAGCGGUGAAAUGCGUAGAGAGUAGGAGGAACACCAGUGGCGAAGGCGGCUUACUGGACUGUAACUGACGUUGAGGCACGAAAGCGUGGGGAGCAAACAGGAUUAGAUACCCUUGUAGUC
Molecule: ribosomal RNA, 440 nt
Filed under: uncultured bacterium
Lineage: Bacteria
Description: partial 16S ribosomal RNA
Rfam family: Bacterial small subunit ribosomal RNA
Source: RNAcentral